This 235-nucleotide long non-coding RNA is filed under the name Phoenix dactylifera (date palm). RNAcentral's name for it is "long non-coding RNA (PDAC_LNC006508)". The record is from RNAcentral. Lineage: Eukaryota; Viridiplantae; Streptophyta; Magnoliopsida; Arecales; Arecaceae.
CGAGGGAGGAGUCCGAUGGCGUCGCCGUCUUGAGGGGGUUGGUUGCCGAGGGGCGGCUCCCCCCGGUGGCUCGCCUUAUUUCCGAGGAUGCCUUAGUGAACGUCGGUCUGAGCUCGGUCCCCGCCGACCGUGAGCCCGCCACCACUUCUUCUUUUUAGCUCUUUUCUCCUCUUUCAUUUCUUCUUUCCAUCAGUUUCUCGGUUUCUAACCAUCUCGUCCUUUUUGCAGAAAUCGA